GAUGAACGCUAGCUACAGGCUUAACACAUGCAAGUUGAGGGGCAGCAUGGUCUUAUCUUGCUAAGGCCGAUGGCGACCGGCGCACGGGUGAGUAACACGUAUCCAACCUGCCGUCUACUCUUGGACAGCCUUCUGAAAGGAAGAUUAAUACAAGAUGGCAUCAUGAGUCCGCAUGUUCACAUGAUUAAAGGUAUUCCGGUAGACGAUGGGGAUGCGUUCCAUUAGAUAGUAGGCGGGGUAACGGCCCACCUAGUCUUCGAUGGAUAGGGGUUCUGAGAGGAAGGUCCCCCACAUUGGAACUGAGACACGGUCCAAACUCCUACGGGAGGCAGCAGUGAGGAAUAUUGGUCAAUGGGCGAGAGCCUGAACCAGCCAAGUAGCGUGAAGGAUGACUGCCCUAUGGGUUGUAAACUUCUUUUAUAAAGGAAUAAAGUCGGGUAUGUAUACCCGUUUGCAUGUACUUUAUGAAUAAGGAUCGGCUAACUCCGUGCCAGCAGCCGCGGUAAUACGGAGGAUCCGAGCGUUAUCCGGAUUUAUUGGGUUUAAAGGGAGCGUAGAUGGAUGUUUAAGUCAGUUGUGAAAGUUUGCGGCUCAACCGUAAAAUUGCAGUUGAUACUGGAUAUCUUGAGUGCAGUUGAGGCAGGCGGAAUUCGUGGUGUAGCGGUGAAAUGCUUAGAUAUCACGAAGAACUCCGAUUGCGAAGGCAGCCUGCUAAGCUGCAACUGACAUUGAGGCUCGAAAGUGUGGGUAUCAAACAGGAUUAGAUACCCUGGUAGUCCACACGGUAAA
RNAcentral lists this ribosomal RNA (789 nucleotides) under uncultured bacterium. Its description in RNAcentral is "bacterial SSU rRNA". It matches the Rfam family "Bacterial small subunit ribosomal RNA", at positions 28 to 806 of the family's 1533-position model. The record is from RNAcentral.